AGAGUUUGAUCCUGGCUCANAUUGAACGCUGGCGGCAUGCCUUACACAUGCAAGUCGAACGGUAACAGGUUAAGCUGACGAGUGGCGAACGGGUGAGUAAUAUAUCGGAACGUGCCCAGUCGUGGGGGAUAACGCAGCGAAAGCUGUGCUAAUACCGCAUACGAUCUACGGAUGAAAGCGGGGGAUCGCAAGACCUCGCGCGAUUGGAGCGGCCGAUAUCAGAUUAGCUAGUUGGUGGGGUAAAAGCCCACCAAGGCGACGAUCUGUAGCUGGUCUGAGAGGACGACCAGCCACACUGGAACUGAGACACGGUCCAGACUCCUACGGGAGGCAGCAGUGGGGAAUUUUGGACAAUGGGCGAAAGCCUGAUCCAGCAAUGCCGCGUGCAGGACGAAGGCCUUCGGGUUGUAAACUGCUUUUGUACGGAACGAAACGGUCUCUUCUAAUAAAGGGGGCUAAUGACGGUACCGUAAGAAUAAGCACCGGCUAACUACGUGCCAGCAGCCGCGGUAAUACGUAGGGUGCGAGCGUUAAUCGGAAUUACUGGGCGUAAAGCGUGCGCAGGCGGUUAUAUAAGACAGAUGUGAAAUCCCCGGGCUCAACCUGGGACCUGCAUUUGUGACUGUAUAGCUAGAGUACGGUAGAGGGGGAUGGAAUUCCGCGUGUAGCAGUGAAAUGCGUAGAUAUGCGGAGGAACACCGAUGGCGAAGGCAAUCCCCUGGACCUGUACUGACGCUCAUGCACGAAAGCGUGGGGAGCAAACAGGAUUAGAUACCCUGGUAGUCCACGCCCUAAACGAUGUCAACUGGUUGUUGGGUCUUCACUGACUCAGUAACGAAGUUAACGCGUGAAGUUGACCGCCUGGGGAGUACGGCCGCAAGGUUG
Molecule: ribosomal RNA, 885 nt
Filed under: uncultured beta proteobacterium
Lineage: Bacteria; Pseudomonadati; Pseudomonadota; Betaproteobacteria
Description: bacterial SSU rRNA
Rfam family: Bacterial small subunit ribosomal RNA
Source: RNAcentral